RNAcentral lists this long non-coding RNA (656 nucleotides) under Macaca mulatta (Rhesus monkey). RNAcentral describes it as "lncRNA (ENSMMUG00000055311.1)". Lineage: Eukaryota; Metazoa; Chordata; Mammalia; Primates; Cercopithecidae. The record is from RNAcentral.
CCCUCAGGCAAAAUGUUAAUGAAAAUCAUCUUUAUUUCCAUCCAGGGAAGGCAAUGAUUAUGCUACAUAAAGGGAAAAGAUAUAAACUUACAGCCUGUAGAUGUGAAAGUGGAUACAUUCCAAUAGAAAGUUUCUAUAUUUCUCUUCCAACACCCUACUUCUUAUCUAUUUGGAAGUCUGGAGAGUAAAGGAAGAAAGAGAAUUGAAGAGUUUGUGGUUAAGAACAAUCUUUACUCCCACCUUCUUGCUUGGGUGAUUCUUGGAUAAAGAGAAGAAAAAGAGGAUCCUUUUGGGAGUUUGGGGGUAACCUGAAAUAAAGCUGAAUCUGCUGUCCUGGACCUCAUUCUGUCCCAGACCACAGACACCUUUUCAUCCUGCCAGUGGUGAACUAUGCCAGCAUUCCCAAUACUACAGUGCACGUCUAUAGAAGCUGAGUCCUGGAUUAUCAAGUGAAGACCUGAUACUUGACACAUGGGAGAGAGCAAGAGAGACUGUGUUUUAAUUUAGCUGGUCUAAGGUGGCACAAUGUCACAACCACAACUAACAAAACCUUGGUGGGAUGGUAUUUUGACACAGCCAGUCUUCUUUUGUCCCUCGCUGCCUAUCAGUAGGCAAUAAAACACUUCAUGUAACAUUGUGUGUAUGAGUAUGCUGUC